Molecule: transfer RNA, 70 nt
Filed under: Triplophysa alticeps
Lineage: Eukaryota; Metazoa; Chordata; Actinopteri; Cypriniformes; Nemacheilidae
Description: tRNA-Trp
Rfam family: tRNA
About the family: Transfer RNA (tRNA) molecules are approximately 80 nucleotides in length.
Source: RNAcentral
AGGCACUUAGGAUAAUUUAGACCAAGAGCCUUCAAAGCUUUAAGUGGAAGUUAAAAUCUUCUGGUCCCUG